GUAGGUGGCAAGCGUUGUCCGGGAAUUAUUGGGCGUAAAGCGCGCGCAGGCAGUUCUUUAAGUCUGAUGUGAAAGCCCACGGGCUCAACCGUGGAGGGUCAUUGGAAACUGGAGAACUUGAGUACAGAAGAGGAAAGCGGAAUUCCACGUGUAGCGGUGAAAUGCGUAGAGAUGUGGAGGAACACCAGUGGCGAAGGCGGCUUUCUGGUCUGUAACUGACGCUGAGGCGCGAAAGCGUGGGGAGCAAACAGGAUUAGAUACCCUGGUAGUCCACGCCGUAAACGAUGAGUGCUAAGUGUUAGGGGGUUUCCGCCCCUUAGUGCUGCAGCUAACGCAUUAAGCACUCCGCCUGGGGAGUACGGCCGCAAGGCUG
This 373-nucleotide ribosomal RNA is filed under the name uncultured organism. RNAcentral's name for it is "partial 16S ribosomal RNA". It matches the Rfam family "Bacterial small subunit ribosomal RNA", at positions 527 to 896 of the family's 1533-position model. The record is from RNAcentral.